AGAGUUUGAUCAUGGCUCAGGAUGAACGCUGGCGGCGUGCUUAACACAUGCAAGUCGAACGAAGCAUUUUGGAAGAAGUCUUCGGACGGAUUUUGGGAUGACUGAGUGGCGGACGGGUGAGUAACGCGUGGGCAACCUGCCCUGUACAGGGGGAUAACAGCCGGAAACGGCUGCUAAUACCGCAUAAGCGCACGAGACCGCAUGGUUUUGUGUGAAAAACUCCGGUGGUACAGGAUGGGCCCGCGUCUGAUUAGGCAGUUGGCGGGGUGACGGCCCACCAAACCGACGAUCAGUAGCCGACCUGAGAGGGUGACCGGCCACAUUGGGACUGAGACACGGCCCAAACUCCUACGGGAGGCAGCAGUGGGGAAUAUUGCACAAUGGGCGCAAGCCUGAUGCAGCGACGCCGCGUGAGCGAAGAAGUAUUUCGGUAUGUAAAGCUCUGUCAGCAGGGAAGAAAACGACGGUACCUGCACAAGAAGCUCCGGCUAAAUACGUGCCAGCAGCCGCGGUAAUACGUAUGGAGCAAGCGUUAUCCGGAAUUACUGGGUGUAAAGGGAGCGUAGACGGCAUGGCAAGUCUGGUGUGAAAGACCGGGGCUCAACCCCGGGCCUGCAUUGGAAACUGCCAAGCUUGAGUGCCGGAGAGGUAAGCGGAAUUCCUAGUGUAGCGGUGAAAUGCGUAGAUAUUAGGAGGAACACCAGUGGCGAAGGCGGCUUACUGGACGGUAACUGACGUUGAGGCUCGAAGGCGUGGGGAGCAAACAGGAUUAGAUACCCUGGUAGUCCACGCAGUAAACG
This 800-nucleotide ribosomal RNA is filed under the name uncultured bacterium. RNAcentral's name for it is "bacterial SSU rRNA". It matches the Rfam family "Bacterial small subunit ribosomal RNA", at positions 8 to 808 of the family's 1533-position model. The record is from RNAcentral.